Molecule: transfer RNA, 59 nt
Filed under: Dipodomys ordii (Ord's kangaroo rat)
Lineage: Eukaryota; Metazoa; Chordata; Mammalia; Rodentia; Heteromyidae
Rfam family: tRNA
About the family: Transfer RNA (tRNA) molecules are approximately 80 nucleotides in length.
Source: Rfam by way of RNAcentral
GGGAAGGUAGCUCAGUGGUAGAGCAUUUGCCUCGCAUGCAUGAGAGUGCUUGCUUCCCA